Molecule: long non-coding RNA, 441 nt
Organism: Girardinichthys multiradiatus
Lineage: Eukaryota; Metazoa; Chordata; Actinopteri; Cyprinodontiformes; Goodeidae
Exons: 2
Source: RefSeq, a predicted model, not a curated record
UGCGCAUAAAGCAGCAGGUCAAAAGCAGGUCAGACGUGUUUUCAGCUCUGCUCAGAGACUUUCUACACCAAGGGGCUUUAACUGAACCGUUCCUGAGCUGAUCCCUGCAAUCUCUUCAAGACCUCUAAGGGCCAGUUAUGCCCACCGCUGCUUGGCCACGGCCCCACCGCCGUGACACCUAUCAGAUAUGCUGAGGUCCUGACCCUGCCGUGUUUGGAUUCCCAGGCCAGGAGUCCAGACUGCAGUGCACAUAUCGAAUCAACGCUCCGAACAGGAAUGCAGCUGCAGCCCUUUGACUCUGACAAUGGACCACAACCUGAACCUCAUCUCAACUAGAACUCUGUGAAACACAAUACCAAGCCUAACUGACUCCAUCAUGCAUUCAAACCCUUAAGGAAGGUUUGCAGCUUUUCUCUGGAAAUAAAAACAACUUCUAUAUGU